Long non-coding RNA from Sparus aurata (gilthead seabream), 2674 nucleotides. Lineage: Eukaryota; Metazoa; Chordata; Actinopteri; Spariformes; Sparidae. The record is from Ensembl.
AAACAGCUGGGACGACGUCAAACUUUUACCGUCACCUCGAAAGGAAGCAUAAAGACAGGUUCCUGGACUACAAGGCAGGACAACUUGCAGAUGCUACACAGCCAACUAUCCCAUCCUUUGCCCAGAAAGUGCAGCUCUACAGUCUACAUUCCCCACGGCAGCAAGCCAUCAGUGAGGCCAUUGUCAAAGAUUUGAUAAUCGGGUGUUGUCUGCCACUCUCCCUUGUGGAAAAUGAACAUUUUAAAGACUUUCUUGAGACUGUGGAUAACAAGUACACACCAAUCUCAAGAAGAACAAUUACUGAGAAAUACAUACCAGUUUUGGUAAAGCAAGUUAAGGAGACUGUUUUGGAGAAGCUGAAGAAAAAAUCAACAGUGUCCUUAACUACUGACAUCUGGUCUGAUCGCAGGCUUCGCUCCUUCCUUGGAGUAACAGCUCAUUUGUGCAACAAGUCAAAGGAUUGCUAUGCCCUUGAAUCGUACUUGCUGGACUGUAGACAUUUCCCAGGCAGACAUAGUGGAGAGCGAAUUUCCUCUGCCUUUGAGGAGAUCACAGAAGAAUAUAGUAUCCGUCAAAAGAUCAGUUAUAUUGUCACAGACAAUGCCGCUAAUAUGAAGUGUGCUUUUGCGCAUGCCACAACAGCAGUCAGAUGACACUGAGAGUGAGGAGGAAAACCUUGAUGAUAAGCACCUAUGGGAGGACAUGCAUCCUGUGGAAGACACAGAGCCACCCUGGUCAUCAGGUGAACGUAUUUCUUGUUUUGCUCACUCCCUGCAAUUAGUUGUGAAUGACGGCAUGAAGGAAGUUAGAGCCAUCUCUCGCGCCAUUGCCAAAACAUCACGCUUCUCAACUCUAUUGCACAGCAGCUCACAGUUCAGAGACAAGUUUGAGGCUGCAUUUGACUCUACUAAGACUAUUCCAGCUGCAAACAACACUCGCUGGAACAGCACUUUCAAACAAGUGCAGGCCCUCACAGCUCUGGACCAUAAAGUUCUGACUGAAAUGUGUUGCAAGGAUUAUGAGGAAGUGGUAUUCAGCACUCGUGAGUGGAACCAGCUUAAGGAAUUGACUUCAAUUCUCGCACCAUUCUCGGAGGCAACAGACCUGACAGAGGGAGAGAAAGCAGUUACCAAUAGCAUGGUGGUACCGACUGUUCUGGACUUGCAUACACAUCUUGUGAAGAUGGAGGAGACACGAAUACAGUGUCGGCCAAUAGUAAAGGCCCUUCGUCAGUCUCUGAUGAGAAGAUUCAGUGGAAUCUUUUCCAAAACAAACAUGACCAAAGACAGUGGGGAAGAGGAACCUUUCAGCCACAAUGUGUACUUUUUGGCCACAAUGCUUGACCCACAGUUUGGAUUAAACUGGGUGGAUCUGGAUGUUACAAAUGGGCAAAAUGCAACAUCACUCAAGAACUUCAGAGAAGAUCUGAAGAAAACACUGACAGACACUUUGAUCUCUGAGGUGGAGAACUUGAUGGACAGCGAAGGUGAAGAGUGCAGAGCCACAGAUGGAGAUCCAUCCAGUGAUUCACCUCCAGUCAAAUGCCCACGCCUUCUUACUCGCUACAAAGCUCACAAAAAGCGCAGCUCAGGCCAGGGUUCAAGCAUCAGAACACAGAUAAGCAAAUACUUCGAUGCCAUACAGGACACUGAUGCUGACAAUGCACUUGUCUUCUGGUACAAAAACCAAGACAGAUUCCCACAACUCCACAACUUGGCACUGAAGGUGCUGUCAGUUCCCGCAUCCUCUGCACCAGUUGAGAGGGUUUUUAGUAGAGGAGGCAUCAUAAUGAGACCCCAUCGUGCACGUUUAGGUCACAGAAUGCUGCAGUCUCUCAUGUUCCUGAAAUGCAACAAAGCUCUUCUUAAAUCUUAGUUUUCGUGGAAAGAAACUGGAACUUUGAGGUUCAGCAACAAGCCCUUUUGUGAGUUUACUGUUAUUGUUGAGCUCAGACUUUUAGGGGUGUUUUGUUACCACAUGUUGUUCAGGCUUGGCAUGACAUCAUUUUCAGUUCAGCUGUUCCUAAAUAAUUAAUGUUGUAAUUUCAUGAAGAAAAGACCAAUGUUGAAGAAUGUUAACAAAAAAUACCUUUCACACAGCUCAUUUAAUUUAGGUGGUACUGACUCUUUACUUUUUUUAUUCUUACUCUCUGAAAUGAAAGGUUUAUUGUGACUUCUUGGGUCAAUUCAGUUUUGAUAAUAUGAACUUUUUCAAGAGGUGAAACACAACAAGUUUACUAGAUUUGAGAUUUGUUUCAUUCAUUGUACUGCUUUGAAAACAACAGAGCAAAGAUUUUUGUUGUCGCAUUUAUUUGAAAGCAAAAUUAAAUAAAAAACCUCACAUUUUGAUGUUUUGUUAUGAUUUUCCUUGGAUAUAUAUGGUCUUGGUCUUGUCUCGGUCUCGACCUCCAAAUGUCUUGGUCUUGUCUCGGUCUCGACCUCCAAAUGUCUUGGCCUAGUCUCGGUCUCGGUACUCUCUGGUCUCGGUAAUGUCUUGGUCUCGGCUGGUGCGGUCUUGAUUACAACACUACGAACCAUCGACUCAGUCUUUGUCCGGGGAAUCAUCCAGCAGUUCACAGUUUUUCUGACUUUAGCGUACGUUAUUAAAUACCGGCAAUAGCGGGCCACCGAGUUAUAAAGGAACGACUUCCUCAGCGGAAAGUGUUGCGUGAACA